RNAcentral lists this ribosomal RNA (382 nucleotides) under uncultured eukaryote. RNAcentral describes it as "partial 18S ribosomal RNA". It matches the Rfam family "Eukaryotic small subunit ribosomal RNA", at positions 592 to 976 of the family's 1831-position model. The record is from RNAcentral.
UGUAAGCGUAUACCAAAGUUGUUGCAGUUAAAACGCUCGUAGUCGGAAUUUGGCAGUUCCGGAUGUGUGCACGUCGUGUGCGCACUUCGCGGGGAUUGCUUUUGUGGUCUUGCGUAGGAUGAGGCACUUUUAUUAGUGAACGUCCUCACGCAACCACUUUUUACUGUGAGAAAAUCAGAGUGCUCAAAGCAGGCAUUUGCCGUGAAUGUAGUAGCAUGGAAUAAUAGAAUAGGACUUGGUUCUAUUUUGUUGGUUUGUUGGGACUGAGUAAUGAUUAAGAGGGACAGUUGGGGGCAUUUGUAUUUCGGUGCUAGAGGUGAAAUUCUUAGAUUACCGAAAGACAAACUGCUGCGAAAGCGUCUGCCAAGGAUGUUUUCAUUGA